AGCAGCCGCGGUAAUUCCAGCUCCAAUAGCGUAUAUUAAAGUUGUUGCAGUUAAAAAGCUCGUAGUUGAACUUCGGGGUUCACCCAUUGGUCAGGCUUAAUUGUCUGUACUGGUGAGAUGAGUCUCUACCUUCUGAGGAACUUUCAUGCCAUUUGUUUGGUGUGAUUGGAAAUCAGGACUGUUACUUUGAAAAAUUAGAGUGUUUAAAGCAGGCUAACGUCUGAAUACAUUAGCAUGGAAUAAUGAAAUAGGACGGAUUGAUUCUAUUUCGUUGGUUUCUAGGGUCACCGUAAUGAUUAAUAGGGAUAGUUGGGGGCAUUAGUAUUCAAUUGUCAGAGGUGAAAUUCUUGGAUUUAUUGAAGACUAACUACUGCGAAAGCAUUUGCCAAGGAUGUUUUCAUUAAUCAAGAACGAAAGUUAGGGGAUCGAAGACGAUCAGAUACCGCCGUAGUCUUAACCAUAAACUAUGCCGACUAGGGAUCGGACGCAGUUAAUUUUAUAAUGACGUGUUCGGCUACCG
This 520-nucleotide ribosomal RNA is filed under the name uncultured Diversispora. RNAcentral's name for it is "SSU rRNA". It matches the Rfam family "Eukaryotic small subunit ribosomal RNA", at positions 569 to 1089 of the family's 1831-position model. The record is from RNAcentral. Lineage: Eukaryota; Fungi; Glomeromycota; Glomeromycetes; Diversisporales; Diversisporaceae.